UACGUAGGGUGCGAGCGUUAAUCGGAAUUACUGGGCGUAAAGUGUGCGCAGGCGGCUGAGCAAGUCGAGUGUGAAAGCCCCGGGCUUAACUUGGGAAUUGCGCUCGAAACUACUUUGCUGGAGUGUGGCAGAGGAAGGUGGAAUUCCACGUGUAGCGGUGAAAUGCGUAGAGAUGUGGAGGAACACCAAUGGCGAAGGCAGCCUUCUGGGCCAACACUGACGCUCAGGCACGAAAGCGUGGGGAGCAAACAGG
RNAcentral lists this ribosomal RNA (253 nucleotides) under uncultured bacterium. RNAcentral's name for it is "partial 16S ribosomal RNA". It matches the Rfam family "Bacterial small subunit ribosomal RNA", at positions 524 to 776 of the family's 1533-position model. The record is from RNAcentral.